RNAcentral lists this ribosomal RNA (2852 nucleotides) under Klebsiella pneumoniae UCI 56. RNAcentral describes it as "bacterial LSU rRNA". It matches the Rfam family "Bacterial large subunit ribosomal RNA". The record is from RNAcentral. Lineage: Bacteria; Pseudomonadati; Pseudomonadota; Gammaproteobacteria; Enterobacterales; Enterobacteriaceae.
GAAGGACGUGCUAAUCUGCGAAAAGCGUCGGUAAGGUGAUAUGAACCGUUAUAACCGGCGAUGUCCGAAUGGGGAAACCCAGUGUGAUUCGUCACACUAUCGUUAACUGAAUACAUAGGUUAACGAGGCGAACCGGGGGAACUGAAACAUCUAAGUACCCCGAGGAAAAGAAAUCAACCGAGAUUCCCCCAGUAGCGGCGAGCGAACGGGGAGCAGCCCAGAGUCUGAAUCAGCUUGUGUGUUAGUGGAACGGUCUGGAAAGUCCGACGGUACAGGGUGAUAGUCCCGUACACCAAAAUGCACAGGCUGUGAACUCGAAGAGUAGGGCGGGACACGUGGUAUCCUGUCUGAAUAUGGGGGGACCAUCCUCCAAGGCUAAAUACUCCUGACUGACCGAUAGUGAACCAGUACCGUGAGGGAAAGGCGAAAAGAACCCCGGCGAGGGGAGUGAAAAAGAACCUGAAACCGUGUACGUACAAGCAGUGGGAGCACCUUCGGGUGUGACUGCGUACCUUUUGUAUAAUGGGUCAGCGACUUAUAUUCUGUAGCAAGGUUAACCGUAUAGGGGAGCCGCAGGGAAACCGAGUCUUAACUGGGCGUUAAGUUGCAGGGUAUAGACCCGAAACCCGGUGAUCUAGCCAUGGGCAGGUUGAAGGUUGGGUAACACUAACUGGAGGACCGAACCGACUAAUGUUGAAAAAUUAGCGGAUGACUUGUGGCUGGGGGUGAAAGGCCAAUCAAACCGGGAGAUAGCUGGUUCUCCCCGAAAGCUAUUUAGGUAGCGCCUCGUGAACUCAUCUUCGGGGGUAGAGCACUGUUUCGGCUAGGGGGUCAUCCCGACUUACCAACCCGAUGCAAACUACGAAUACCGAAGAAUGUUAUCACGGGAGACACACGGCGGGUGCUAACGUCCGUCGUGAAGAGGGAAACAACCCAGACCGCCAGCUAAGGUCCCAAAGUCAUGGUUAAGUGGGAAACGAUGUGGGAAGGCACAGACAGCCAGGAUGUUGGCUUAGAAGCAGCCAUCAUUUAAAGAAAGCGUAAUAGCUCACUGGUCGAGUCGGCCUGCGCGGAAGAUGUAACGGGGCUAAACCAUGCACCGAAGCUGCGGCAGCGACACUAUGUGUUGUUGGGUAGGGGAGCGUUCUGUAAGCCUGCGAAGGUGUGCUGUGAGGCAUGCUGGAGGUAUCAGAAGUGCGAAUGCUGACAUAAGUAACGAUAAAGCGGGUGAAAAGCCCGCUCGCCGGAAGACCAAGGGUUCCUGUCCAACGUUAAUCGGGGCAGGGUGAGUCGACCCCUAAGGCGAGGCCGAAAGGCGUAGUCGAUGGGAAACAGGUUAAUAUUCCUGUACUUGGUGUUACUGCGAAGGGGGGACGGAGAAGGCUAUGUUAGCCGGGCGACGGUUGUCCCGGUUUAAGCAUGUAGGCUGGUUGUCCAGGCAAAUCCGGAUAAUCAAGGCUGAGGUGUGAUGACGAGGCACUACGGUGCUGAAGUAACAAAUGCCCUGCUUCCAGGAAAAGCCUCUAAGCAUCAGGUAACAUCAAAUCGUACCCCAAACCGACACAGGUGGUCAGGUAGAGAAUACCAAGGCGCUUGAGAGAACUCGGGUGAAGGAACUAGGCAAAAUGGUGCCGUAACUUCGGGAGAAGGCACGCUGGUGUGUAGGUGAAGUCCCUGCGGAUGGAGCUGAGACCAGUCGAAGAUACCAGCUGGCUGCAACUGUUUAUUAAAAACACAGCACUGUGCAAACACGAAAGUGGACGUAUACGGUGUGACGCCUGCCCGGUGCCGGAAGGUUAAUUGAUGGGGUUAUCCGUAAGGAGAAGCUCUUGAUCGAAGCCCCGGUAAACGGCGGCCGUAACUAUAACGGUCCUAAGGUAGCGAAAUUCCUUGUCGGGUAAGUUCCGACCUGCACGAAUGGCGUAAUGAUGGCCAGGCUGUCUCCACCCGAGACUCAGUGAAAUUGAACUCGCUGUGAAGAUGCAGUGUACCCGCGGCAAGACGGAAAGACCCCGUGAACCUUUACUAUAGCUUGACACUGAACAUUGAGCCUUGAUGUGUAGGAUAGGUGGGAGGCUUUGAAGCGUGGACGCCAGUCUGCGUGGAGCCAACCUUGAAAUACCACCCUUUAAUGUUUGAUGUUCUAACGUUGGCCCCUUACCGGGGUUGCGGACAGUGUCUGGUGGGUAGUUUGACUGGGGCGGUCUCCUCCCAAAGCGUAACGGAGGAGCACGAAGGUUAGCUAAUCCUGGUCGGACAUCAGGAGGUUAGUGCAAUGGCAUAAGCUAGCUUGACUGCGAGCGUGACGGCGCGAGCAGGUGCGAAAGCAGGUCAUAGUGAUCCGGUGGUUCUGAAUGGAAGGGCCAUCGCUCAACGGAUAAAAGGUACUCCGGGGAUAACAGGCUGAUACCGCCCAAGAGUUCAUAUCGACGGCGGUGUUUGGCACCUCGAUGUCGGCUCAUCACAUCCUGGGGCUGAAGUAGGUCCCAAGGGUAUGGCUGUUCGCCAUUUAAAGUGGUACGCGAGCUGGGUUUAGAACGUCGUGAGACAGUUCGGUCCCUAUCUGCCGUGGGCGCUGGAGAAUUGAGGGGGGCUGCUCCUAGUACGAGAGGACCGGAGUGGACGCAUCACUGGUGUUCGGGUUGUCAUGCCAAUGGCACUGCCCGGUAGCUAAAUGCGGAAGAGAUAAGUGCUGAAAGCAUCUAAGCACGAAACUUGCCCCGAGAUGAGUUCUCCCUGAGACUUUAAGUCUCCUGAAGGAACGUUGAAGACGACGACGUUGAUAGGCCGGGUGUGUAAGCGCAGCGAUGCGUUGAGCUAACCGGUACUAAUGAACCGUGAGGCUUAACCUU